AUGUGUGAUGCAAAGGUGCUACAUGAUUAAACAGUGCAUCUGCCAGCUGUGAACUUCUGCAGCUCUGAUAAAUUAUGCAAGUCACUUGAUCCAUUCAGAUUUGACUCAGAAUAUUGGGUUGCACGUUAUUUUACAGUACGUGUACUAACGUACUUAUAGUGUACUUACAGUGUAUUUAUCUAAGAAGGUUCUGGUAACACAAGGUAACUACAUGGGGUAGGGUUAGAUUUAGGGGUACACUGUAAAAAAUAAUUCAGUGGCUUAGUAAAUUUCACAAAAAUAAAGAGCUAUAUUAACUUAAUAAAAUCUUUUGAAAUCAUUUAAGUGAUAUUUUGAGUGGGUCAGAUUAAAAAUAAUAAUUAAAAAUCCAACAAAUAAUUUCUCUAAAAUUUACAUAUAUUAUUUAAGUUUAUGUAAUGAAAAUAAAUAAGUAUUUAACUAACUAAUUAUAUUUUUAAUAUACCUUCAAUAUUUCUGGUGAAUUCUAAUAGAAAUAUUUGAUAAUUAUUUACUUGUACUGAUCUGUUUUAGAAACUAAAAUUAUUAAGUAUUUCCUACCAAUUUUCCUAAAUAAAGUUCCAGCUUAAUAAAUGACAGUUAAAUAAAUUGAGUAAAUUUCGCGGCUAAAGUGAUCACGUGUGCAGCUCCGCAGGAAAAAAAAAAAAUCUGCUUUCCUCAGCAGCGACGUCGACUAGCCAUACACCUCACAACUCCUGUUUCGUAGCUUAAUCGAAGUCACCUGAAGGACGGCUUUCCUCAGCAACGGCAAGGCCCGCACUCCUCUCAUAUUGUGGUACGUUAUAUAAUUUAUCCAGCUAGUUAAUACUAAUUAUGUUUGUAAUGUUUAAUUCAGAAGUUAAUUAUUAAGGAUUUCCUAACAAUUGUGUUUGUAUUUUGCGUCAUCUUAAGAAGUUUAACAAGUUUCGCGGCUCAAACAAGAGGCACCUGUCACUGAAGGACUGCUUUUCUCAGCUACGACGUGAACAGCAUCACUCGAAUUUCCUGGUUCAGCUGAUCUACCCAUCUUCGUACAAGCAGAGUUGGCAGAGGAGGUCAUAAAAAUCUACAUCCUUCGGGACAAUGAUGGGGCAGUCAGCGAUGUAAUCUUGGGAAUCACAGCAGAGCCUGCUGCCAUCUUUUGGGAGUCACAUUGGAUUUGAGAUAUCCCAAGACCCACAAAUACAGGUCCUUCUCCAAAAAUUAGCAUAUUGUGAUAAAGUUCAUUAUUUUCCUUAAUGUAAUGAUAAAAAUUAAACUUUCAUAUAUUUUAGAUUCAUUGCACACCAACUGAAAUAUUUCAGGUCUUUUAUUGUUUAAAUACUGAUGCUUUUGGCAUACAGCUCAUGAAAACCCAAAAUUCCUAUCUCAAAAAAUUAGCUUAUUUUUACCUUUAUUUUUAGCUUUAUUAUUUACCAAUAAAAGAAAUAUUAUUUACCAAUAAAAGAAAAGUGUUUUUAAUACAAAAAAGUCAACCU
Molecule: long non-coding RNA, 1475 nt
Filed under: Carassius auratus (goldfish)
Lineage: Eukaryota; Metazoa; Chordata; Actinopteri; Cypriniformes; Cyprinidae
Description: lncRNA (ENSCARG00000063677.1)
Source: RNAcentral